UACGAAGGGUGCAAACGUUGUUCGGAAUUACUGGGCGUAAAGAGCGCGUAGGCGGUUUGUUAAGUCAGUUGUUAAAUUCCUUGGCUCAACCGAGGGUCAGCAAUUGAAACUGGCAGGCUAGAGGGCAAGAGAGAGGUGUGGAAUUCUCGGAGUAGCGGUAAAAUGCGUAGAUCUCGAGAGGAACACCGAAGGCGAAGGCAGCACCUUGGCUUGUACCUGACGCUGAUGCGCGAAAGCGUGGGGAGCAAACAGG
RNAcentral lists this unclassified non-coding RNA (253 nucleotides) under uncultured bacterium. RNAcentral's name for it is "contains 16S-23S intergenic spacer region". It matches the Rfam family "Bacterial small subunit ribosomal RNA", at positions 524 to 776 of the family's 1533-position model. The record is from RNAcentral.